RNAcentral lists this ribosomal RNA (465 nucleotides) under Vreelandella stevensii. RNAcentral's name for it is "partial 16S ribosomal RNA". It matches the Rfam family "Bacterial small subunit ribosomal RNA", at positions 338 to 795 of the family's 1533-position model. Lineage: Bacteria; Pseudomonadati; Pseudomonadota; Gammaproteobacteria; Oceanospirillales; Halomonadaceae. The record is from RNAcentral.
CCUACGGGAGGCUGCAGUGGGGAAUAUUGGACAAUGGGGGCAACCCUGAUCCAGCCAUGCCGCGUGUGUGAAGAAGGCCCUCGGGUUGUAAAGCACUUUCAGUGAGGAAGAACGCCUGGUGGUUAAUACCCAUCAGGAAAGACAUCACUCACAGAAGAAGCACCGGCUAACUCCGUGCCAGCAGCCGCGGUAAUACGGAGGGUGCGAGCGUUAAUCGGAAUUACUGGGCGUAAAGCGCGCGUAGGUGGCUUGAUAAGCCGGUUGUGAAAGCCCCGGGCUCAACCUGGGAACGGCAUCCGGAACUGUCAAGCUAGAGUGCAGGAGAGGAAGGUAGAAUUCCCGGUGUAGCGGUGAAAUGCGUAGAGAUCGGGAGGAAUACCAGUGGCGAAGGCGGCCUUCUGGACUGACACUGCCACUGAGGUGCGAAAGCGUGGGUAGCAAACAGGAUUAGAUACCCCAGUAGUC